Molecule: ribosomal RNA, 363 nt
Filed under: Triticum aestivum (bread wheat)
Lineage: Eukaryota; Viridiplantae; Streptophyta; Magnoliopsida; Poales; Poaceae
Description: partial small subunit ribosomal RNA
Source: RNAcentral
AUGAGUAUCUUGUGCUGGAACUGUCGCGGGAUUGGCAACGCCCCGACAGUUCAAGAGCUACGCGAACUCGCGACAAAGUUUGCCCCUAAAGUACUUUGUAUUGUUGAAACUUAGAUCAAUAGAGUUAGAGCAGAAAGUCUAGCAAGUACUUUAGGUUUUGAUAAUUCAUUUGCUGUUGACUCCUCUGGUAGGAGUGGAGGUUUGGCUAUCUUUUGGAACAAUGAAAUAAAAGUUGAGAAUUUGGGUUAUUCGAAGUAUCACAUAGACAUCAGGGUGAGUGAUCUUGGGGGUGACCCUUGGAGACUUUCAUGUUUCUAUGGGAGGCGCAAACACACAUGCGUUAUCACACUUGGGAUACAAUGA